GGUUAAACUGUCUCCUUUUUCAGAUCAGUGAAACUAAUCUCCCCGUGAAGAAGCGGGGAUAAUUCUAUAAGACGAGAAGACCCCAUGGAGCUUUAAACCCAACCACACCCCUCUUUAACUUUACUUUAAAAUUCUUGGGAUAUUUGUGUUUUGGUUUUAGGUUGGGGUGACCGCGGAGCAUAAAUUAGCCUCCAUAAUGAAUAGAUCUUCUCUUUAUCUAAGACUUACACUUCUAAGAAUUAGCACUCUAACAUAAAAUGAUCCGAUAUUCGAUCAACGAACCAAGUUACCCUGGGGAUAACAG
This 304-nucleotide ribosomal RNA is filed under the name Guibemantis liber. RNAcentral's name for it is "partial 16S ribosomal RNA". It matches the Rfam family "Bacterial large subunit ribosomal RNA", at positions 2009 to 2480 of the family's 2925-position model. The record is from RNAcentral. Lineage: Eukaryota; Metazoa; Chordata; Amphibia; Anura; Mantellidae.